RNAcentral lists this unclassified non-coding RNA (796 nucleotides) under Hevea brasiliensis (rubber tree). The record is from RNAcentral. Lineage: Eukaryota; Viridiplantae; Streptophyta; Magnoliopsida; Malpighiales; Euphorbiaceae.
UCCUGGAGCCUGUGAAGCUUCUUUGGAUGCCUUAUUGACUUUAAUUAAGGAUGAAAAACUUCAAAGUGGUGCUAAAGUUCUUGCUGAAGAAAAUGCCAUACCAUCAAUGAUAAAGCUACUUAAUAGUCCUUCCCCUAGACUGCAAGAAAAGGUUCUGAAUUCAUUAGAAAGACUUUUUAGGUUGGUGGAAUACAAGCAGAGGUAUGGAUCGUCUGCUCACAUGCCUUUAGUUGACUUGACACAACGAGGAACUAGCAACAUCAAAUCUGUAGCAGCAAAGGUACUUGCUCAGUUGAAUGUGCUUCAUGACCAGUCCUCUUAUUUCUAAGGCAGAGCCACGAUCCUUGAAGACCCACACAGUGCAAUUAGAUGAAGAAAUUGGUUAGAGUAAGGCUGCGACUAGAGCAAGGUAUGUCUGUCUUAGGCAUAAAACCCCAGCUUUAUGAGAAAGAACCUCAGUUAGGAAGGCAAGAGUUUGAGUGACUGAAGAUUGCAUGGUAGCCCUGGUUUAAGUGAAAUGCAAAGCCCUUACAUCUGAUAUCUUGUGGUGCUUUCUGACAAUCGCGGUGAACAUUCAGGAACCACUGGUAAUAUAAUUUUUUUUUCUUUUGAAAUUCUUGCAUUCUUAAGAAUAGGGGUUGAGUAACAAUCAAAUACUUUGAUUCUUUAUCAUUGAUAAAACCUGAUGUAUGUGUCAGUGGGAAACAAGCAAUUUGGGCUGACCUCCCAUGAUAGAGCGGUUACUCAAGUCCUUGUUGUAAAAUAUGUAAUGGAAUUCAUUAGUCAUAGCCAAUUG